UAGUGAAAGAGCUCGCGUCCUGGCAUUUUCCGACAGCCCUAGCACGUUUCCCCGCUCGGAAGCAAUAUGCCACCUGCUGUUUCUCGUCGUUGUAGACUUGAAAUCGUAGAAUGCAUGUUUUUCAGCGCAUUCAAUAGGUACGUGUUAUGUUUUUACAGCGUGAUAAUAGUGGUUUCUUUCCUUGUUUGAAAAUUGCUAUUGUAAUGUCAGCCACAGCGUUUGUGACAUAUAUAGCAUAGCCCCGCAAGGGCGUCUGCGUCAGCAGGUGUUUGGUGUGUUGCGGCACCACGGACCCGAGAAAAUGUGUUCUGGAACCUCUCGCAUGUAGCCGUGCGCGGCUUAGUCGUGUCUGGGGAAAGGGGGAUCCUGGGGGUUAAGCCGAUGCAGGGUAUUCAGACCUUUAAGGCCCCCCGGCGGAGGAAACGCACCUCUUUGACUUCGGCUUCACAUAGACGGUGCCUCUAGACUUACCCGCCUGGAGGAAAUCGUUCUUGGAUACCAAAGAACCAAUAUGGACAGUUCAUACAACCGGACCCACAGAUCGUCGAUGCGAAGUUGACGAGGUUGAAGACGUGACAAAUGCUUCAGCUUAUUUCAAGCGACAGUUUUAUCUUGGAGAGAAAAAGACGUCUACCAGAAUUUUAGGAACCUUCAGUUCACAUCGAAAGAAGCACAUGGAUAUCUAUAUUCCAGGUAGCCGUUACACUGUUUGGGAGGAUAUUCUCUACCUGAGUGCCAACUUAGACUGUGCGGUGAUUAUGACUACGACGAAACUUGAGAGAAAGGAAAAACACACGUAUGACGUCCGAGUGAGGAAUUCGUCCAUAUCAUGUAGCCCUGGCCGUGAUUGUCUUGCCAAAUUCAGGGAGGUUGAGAAGUGGGAUCAAAUCAUCUACACGAGAGAUUGCCAGCACAUACUUGAUAAAAAGUCUGCAUCGCUUUUAAUGAAUAAAAUAAUAUAAAAAGAA
Molecule: RNA transcript, 968 nt
Organism: Dermacentor silvarum
Lineage: Eukaryota; Metazoa; Arthropoda; Arachnida; Ixodida; Ixodidae
Exons: 5
Source: RefSeq, a predicted model, not a curated record